CACACCGCCCGUCACGCCACGAAAGCUUGCUGUACCAGAAAAUGGUGGGCCAACCCGCAAGGGGGCAGCCAGCUAUGGUAUGGCCGGUGAUUGGGGCG
This 98-nucleotide ribosomal RNA is filed under the name uncultured bacterium. RNAcentral describes it as "partial 16S ribosomal RNA". It matches the Rfam family "Bacterial small subunit ribosomal RNA", at positions 1386 to 1482 of the family's 1533-position model. The record is from RNAcentral.